UUGAUAAUUUAUCGCCCUUUGAAUCGACACGCCAUUUGUAAACAUCGAAGGUCGCGGAGAAAAUGAAACUACCAAAAACAAUUAUUUGAUGAUUUAUUUCGAUUGUAUAAAGAAUGACAGUUAGCGAAUCUCAAGAUCAACCACUGAGGAUUGUUUGGCUUGAUGCAAUGACCUUAAACAGUGAAAUGAUUUUCCAGGAAGGUCUAUACACCACAGGCUGGAUUUUAUGGGGUGAUGAAAGAACUAUGAAUAUGUAAAUGGGAAUGAAACAGAAGGAAUUAGUAUGUUAUACUGAUCAUCCAGCUGGAAUCAUGCCUGUGGAAUAGAGUGCAUGUCACAAAUACUGAUAUGAGCAAAUAACUCCAUAUUGCACAAAUAAGGUCAUGUUUCCUGCCCUCAUGACCUGAAAAAGUUAAAAAUUAUAGUUCAAAUUACAAAUGUGUUUCAAGAAAAAGUAAAACUUAGUCAACUGUAAGAAAUAUUGGGUAAACGUAUUUUAUAAAGUGUUUUGAUGUCAUGACAGCUGUGAAGUUGUUUGAGAAGCACUAUCCUAAUUGUUCUAACAAUACAGAAUUUAACUUAUAAAUUUUCCAAAACUGCAUGCAUGAAAUACUAAGACAUGUCUGUUGAAUGAAUCCUAGUUGUUUCAAAACUACAACAUGUGUGACAUUAAAGCACAACCUUUGGAGGAAACAGUUUUACAAUCAAAACUGCCUUGCCAGUGUGAGUGUAGGAAGGAUUUUUUUUCCAGAAAUGGCCAUGACAGAAAACUACCAAUAUAGCAGAAAAUAUUUGUUACUGGCUGAAUAUAAUAUAUCUUAUUUCAAGAAUUAAUCAUGUAAAUCCAUGGUUAUAAUUGUGUUAAAAGAUAUUUUUACAUGACAUGACCUUUGCAGAAAUUGCUAUUUUUUUUGCAAAACAUUGUGAGUUGCCAUGGUAACACAAAUUUGAUUUAAAUUUAGAUUUGUUUGAUUAUCUAAACAGCAUGUGUCUUGUUUAUAAUAUUCUGCUAAUCAGACUAUGUUCUGCAAGAAAAUAUCUUUUAUGUGUAACCAUCAACAAAACAUGUUAUAACACAAAUCUGCCAUAAAAUGGCAGAGCUGUAAUGCAGGUAGGCAUAUCAGGAAAAUAUGUAGUUCUCAAAGACAAGUUAUAUUACAUAAAAUGAUGUUUGUUUUUUAUAAAUGAUCAUAAUUGACCAUUUGUGGUGUAAAACAAAUGUAUACUGAACAGAUUGUAAUGAAUGUUCUGAUUCUUUCUGGAAAAUUUACAAAAAAUCUACUAUUUUAAGAAAAUAGUGCAUUGUUGCCAUGGUAACAUUAAUUUAACUUUUAAAUUAUUUUGGAUAUCAUCAUAUGUAAACAACAUCUUUCUUGUUUAUAUGUUAUAUUUGUUAAGCUGAAUUAUGUUAGUGAAUAUAUUUUCAUAUGUAAUAAUUGCAUCAACAAAGCACUAUGUUAUUACACAAGUCUGCCUUAAAAUGGCAAUAGUUGUAACUGAGAGAGAUGUAUCUGAAAAUUAUGUAUUUCUGAAACCAUAUUACAUUAAUUUUCAUGGAAUGAUGUCUACUCUCUUACUUUUAAAUAAGAAAACAGACAGCUUUUGAUGUAAA
Molecule: long non-coding RNA, 1612 nt
Organism: Mercenaria mercenaria
Lineage: Eukaryota; Metazoa; Mollusca; Bivalvia; Venerida; Veneridae
Exons: 3
Source: RefSeq, a predicted model, not a curated record